GAUGUAAGGAGGAGCUCCGGGGGUAGCAAGCAUGGUUAAGCAGAGGAGGAGUCAGCGGAGCAGUUAAUUCCAUCCCUGACAACAUGUCUGCAAAGGUUCCAUGAGCUUUGCAUAAGGCCAGGAGUUCACCUAGAUGACUUUGACAGAACUUUCUGGUUCCAAGAUUCUGCCUUCAUUCCUCGUCUGUAUUUCAAUUGGUGGCCCUUACAGUCUACUUUAAGAUGCAAAUGGUUUGCAAAAGUUAACUCAAUGGUGGUGUUAAAAAAAAUAGAUAACUAGAAGAGUUAUAGAAUAUAGUGACUACAAACACUGGGCUUCUGAAUCAGUCAGACAAGAGGAGUCCGGUCUCAACUGUGUGUUCAUUUUCUGACCUCAGUUUGUCCAGACAGAAGGGUGAGUUUAAGUGGCAGACACCAAGGAAAGCACUGUAGAUCUUUACUGAGGACGUCUUUGCCCUGCCUGGAAUGCACUGUGAUUAGGACAUGUGGCUAAAACCUUCACUUCAACUAUGAAAUCUUCAGAAAUGGUAUUUAAAGCUGUGGUCUUCUCCAGUUUGCUGCUAAAUAUAUGGCUAGGCCAUAGACUGAGUACCAUUUUUCAGCACAUUUAGGGAACCAGGCAUUCCAUGCACAACGCCUUUAUAUAAAUGGAAAGAAGAAGUUGCAAAACUGCAUCAAUUUGCGUAAAAGCUGAUCCAUUAAUAACUUUGCCAAUCAGGUUGAGGUCAUGUAUUCAAUUAGUUCCAUUAUAAUGAGGAUUCUUUCUACUGGAAAUCUGAUUCUCACCUAUCCUGAAAAUGAAAUCAGCCAAUCUUGGGAAUUAGUGGUGUCAUGAGCAAUUAGAUUAACAUGUUUGUAUUCUGCAACAAAAACAUUGGGAGAAAGAAUGCUUUGUAAAACAUUACAAUUAUAUUAAAUUUGAUUAAAUUGUAGAACCAAUACCUGAAGUGUUGUUCCUAUCCUUACAAUCCAGUCUAAAAGCUUUACACUGUAGAAGAUAUUUGUAGUUAGAUGAAUAUAUGUUUACUAAUGUCUAGCAGAGAUUUUUUUGUUUGUCUUUCUUCCUUUUUUAUUUUUUGGUAAACAAAAUGUAUUUCUUUCCCUAGGCUCUAGCUGUAAAUUAGCAUUUGAAUUCAAAUGACAGCAUGUUCCUUUUCUUUUCCUGUACAAUUCUUGUCACAAUGUGCUGUUUUUAAUGGCAAAUCAGCUAAUUAAAGACAGUGUGGUGUGGAAAAUGAAUGGAGUUAAUUGAAUUAGUAUUAAAACACU
This 1268-nucleotide long non-coding RNA is filed under the name Equus caballus (horse). RNAcentral describes it as "lncRNA (ENSECAG00000046295.1)". Lineage: Eukaryota; Metazoa; Chordata; Mammalia; Perissodactyla; Equidae. The record is from RNAcentral.